Gallus gallus (chicken) is the source of this 442-nucleotide long non-coding RNA. RefSeq lists it as uncharacterized. The transcript is spliced from 2 exons. NCBI's taxonomy places the organism in Eukaryota, Metazoa, Chordata, Aves, Galliformes, Phasianidae. The record is from RefSeq and is a predicted model, not a curated record.
GAACAAUGAGACAGCAUACUUCCGCUUACCCUGUGCACUCCUGUGCCUGAGAGAAGGUCAGAUUCCUACUGUUUGCAGCCCUCUUCUAUGCUAAUGCGAGGGCAGGGAGAGCAAAAAGGAUCCGAGGAAGUUUUUACCAAGCUAAGCUCCUCGGUCCAACUCACCACGUGGCAGCACAAGCAAUUGCACCACUUCAAAAGACAGGGUGAUGCAAGCAAGCAGGCAGUGAGCAAGGGGAGGGAGGGCACGGCUGCUCCUCCUGGCAGAAGCGAUGGCUUAAAGGGAUCAUUCAACUAUGACCUUUUAUUUCAGACAUGGAAGUCUCCCAGUUAAAGUCUGAUUCACCAUGAGCAAGAGCCUGCCUGUGACUUCGUACCUCUUUGUAGAUUGAUAUUAAUGUUUACAUGAAUGUAAAAUGGGAUUAAAAAAAUUCCACUGGGCA